This 489-nucleotide ribosomal RNA is filed under the name uncultured bacterium. Its description in RNAcentral is "partial 16S ribosomal RNA". It matches the Rfam family "Bacterial small subunit ribosomal RNA", at positions 30 to 507 of the family's 1533-position model. The record is from RNAcentral.
UUGAACGCUGGCGGCAGGCCUAACACAUGCAAGUCGCACGGUAACAGAAAGCAGCUUGCUGCUUUGCUGACGAGUGGCGGACGGGUGAGUAAUGUCUGGGAAACUGCCUGAUGGAGGGGGAUAACUACUGGAAACGGUAGCUAAUACCGCAUAACGUCGCAAGACCAAAGAGGGGGACCUUCGGGCCUCUUGCCAUCGGAUGUGCCCAGAUGGGAUUAGCUGGUAGGUGGGGUAAAGGCUCACCUAGGCGACGAUCCCUAGCUGGUCUGAGAGGAUGACCAGCCACACUGGAACUGAGACACGGUCCAGACUCCUACGGGAGGCAGCAGUGGGGAAUAUUGCACAAUGGGCGCAAGCCUGAUGCAGCCAUGCCGCGUGUAUGAAGAAGGCCUUCGGGUUGUAAAGUACUUUCAGCGGGGAGGAAGGGAGUAAAGUUAAUACCUUUGCUCAUUGACGUUACCCGCAGAAGAAGCACCGGCUAACUCCGUG